AUCCAUCUGACGAGUCCCAAAUAGGACGAAACGAGUGUCCUGAAU
Molecule: non-coding RNA, 45 nt
Organism: Schistosoma curassoni
Lineage: Eukaryota; Metazoa; Platyhelminthes; Trematoda; Strigeidida; Schistosomatidae
Source: Rfam